RNAcentral lists this ribosomal RNA (497 nucleotides) under uncultured bacterium. RNAcentral's name for it is "partial 16S ribosomal RNA". It matches the Rfam family "Bacterial small subunit ribosomal RNA", at positions 28 to 507 of the family's 1533-position model. The record is from RNAcentral.
GAUGAACGCUGGCGGCGUGCCUAAUACAUGCAAGUAGAACGCUGAAGGAAGGAGCUUGCUCUUUCCGGAUGAGUUGCGAACGGGUGAGUAACGCGUAGGUAACCUGCCUGGUAGCGGGGGAUAACUAUUGGAAACGAUAGCUAAUACCGCAUAACAGUAGAUGUUGCAUGAUAUCUACUUAAAAGGUGCAAUUGCACCACUACCAGAUGGACCUGCGUUGUAUUAGCUAGUUGGUGAGGUAACGGCUCACCAAGGCGACGAUACAUAGCCGACCUGAGAGGGUGAUCGGCCACACUGGGACUGAGACACGGCCCAGACCCCUACGGGAGGCAGCAGUAGGGAAUCUUCGGCAAUGGCCGGAAGUCUGGCCGAGCAACGCCGCGUGAGUGAAGAAGGUUUUCGGAUCGUAAAGCUCUGUUGUAAGAGAAGAACGAGUGUGAGAGUGGAAAGUUCACACUGUGACGGUAUCUUACCAGAAAGGGACGGCUGACUACGUG